CCGUUGUAAAGGACUCCGAAGAGCUGUGGCAAGGGGUGAAAAGCCAAUCUAACCUGGAGAUAGCUGGUCUUCUGCGAAACCCGUUUUAGCGGGUCGCCCAUUUAUUAAAAUGAAAUUCGUUACUAGACGGUACGGCACUGGAAGCCACGCGGCUUUUGCUGCAUAAUCGGGGGGCUGUCAUGGCUCUAUCGAUGGCUUCUAACCCCGGAAAUGUAUAGUAUACAAUGAUGGGCAAUCAGACGUAUCGUGAUAAGGCGAUUCGUCAAAAGGGCAACAGCCCAGAACAGGUGUGAAGGUCCCUAACAAGCUACUGAGUGAACACAAGGCAGUCCUCUCCAGUGUCUCUCCACAAAGUGGGCUUGGAAGCAGCCACCUUUUAGCGAUAGCGUAACAGCUCAGUGGUCUGAGCCUCCCUCUAAAUAGGGUAUAUUGCCUGGUGAGGGCGCCAAAAAUGUAACGGGUCUAUAGUAGUUGUCUCUCUGUUCCAGCUUUGGAUAUGGAGGGAGUGGCAGUUUCUUCACUGUCUCACCGAAACCCUGUCCUAGAUGUAAAAUUCUAGGGGUAGCAGAAUACCCAGCAAAUGGAAUGAAGCUUGCUCAUUGAGCCGGUGGACAUAGCUGGGCUAAGAAUGCUGACAUGAGUAGCCUAAAAGGAGGGUAAUUCCCUCUUCGCCGAAAGCAGAAGGGUUUCAUUUGUAAGGUCUAUACCUAGAUGAUUAAAGCAGCGGCCUCUAAGGUUCAGAGUAACAAAUUAGUUCCGAUGAGUAACUCUUCUAUAGGGCAGUAACCUUCCUUAUAAGUUUACCUUCAAGUAAUUAGAGGUAUACUUCAAAGAGUAAGGUUCGGGAAAGAGCCCUACAGAAUCAAUCUUAAAACCGUACCCUAAACCGACACAGGUCUGCAAGUAGAGCAUACUAAGGCGUAGAGAUAAUCGUCUUGAAGGAACUCGGCAAAAUGACCCCGUAACUUCGGGAGAAGGGGUGCCACUAAUAAGUGGCGGCACUAAACAGGGGGGCGCGACUGUUUACUUAAAACACCGGACUCUGCUAACACUAGCGUGGAUGUAUAGAGU
RNAcentral lists this ribosomal RNA (1071 nucleotides) under Rhizophagus intraradices. RNAcentral's name for it is "partial large subunit ribosomal RNA". It matches the Rfam family "Bacterial large subunit ribosomal RNA", at positions 786 to 1851 of the family's 2925-position model. The record is from RNAcentral. Lineage: Eukaryota; Fungi; Glomeromycota; Glomeromycetes; Glomerales; Glomeraceae.